AGCUACUCUAAAGCAACCUCACAGGGCCAACCCGUCUCUGUAGCAAAAGAGUGGGAAGACUUUAGGGUAGAGGCGAUAAACCUACCGAGCUUAGAGAUAGCUGGUUAUUCAAGAAAAGGAUCUUAGUCCACCUUUAAGUUUUUCAAGUACCCCAAACAUCCUUAAACACCCCAUAAACUUAAAAGCCAUUCAAACAAGGUACAGCCUGUUUGAAAAAGGGAACAGCCUACGACACAGGGUAACGGUUUACCUAAUGUGACCAAGUUGGCCUAAAAGCAGCCAUCUUCCAAAGAGCGUCCAAGCUUUAUCACAAACCCCUCACUAAUCCCAAAAUUAACCCACAACCCCCAACCACUACUGAAUCUCCCCAUACCCCUUAUGGGUGAUAUCAUGCUAGAACUAGUAAAAAGAAAAAGCCCUUCUCCAAAAUGUAAACGUAAGCCAAAAUGAACACUCACCGGCAAUUACCGCCAUAAACCUGCAGUAUCAACAUUACAAGAAAAUUAUACUCCAACUGACGUCAACCUUACACCAGAACAUUCCUGUGAAAG
This 551-nucleotide ribosomal RNA is filed under the name Platypelis sp. 12 MV2019. RNAcentral describes it as "partial large subunit ribosomal RNA". The record is from RNAcentral. Lineage: Eukaryota; Metazoa; Chordata; Amphibia; Anura; Microhylidae.